AGAGUUUGAUCAUGGCUCACAUUGAACGCUGGCGGAAUGCUUUACACAUGCAAGUCGAGCGGCAGCAUGGACUUCGGUCUGAUGGCGAGCGGCGAACGGGUGAGUAAUGUAUAGGAACAUACCCAGUAAUGGGGGAUAACGCCNAGAAAUCGGUGCUAAUACCGCAUACGCCCUGAGGGGGAAAGCGGGGGAUCUUCGGACCUCGCGUUAUUGGAUUGGCCUAUAUCUGAUUAGCUAGUUGGUGAGGUAAAGGCUCACCAAGGCUUCGAUCAGUAGCUGGUCUGAGAGGAUGAUCAGCCACACUGGAACUGAGACACGGUCCAGACUCCUACGGGAGGCAGCAGUGGGGAAUUUUGGACAAUGGGCGAAAGCCUGAUCCAGCCAUUCCGCGUGAGUGAAGAAGGCCUUCGGGUUGUAAAGCUCUUUCGGCAGGAAAGAAAUCAUUACUCCUAAUACGAGUGAUGGAUGACGGUACCUGAAGAAGAAGCACCGGCUAACUACGUGCCAGCAGCCGCGGUAAUACGUAGGGUGCGAGCGUUAAUCGGAAUUACUGGGCGUAAAGCGUGCGCAGGCGGUUUUGUAAGUCAGAUGUGAAAGCCCCGGGCUCAACCUGGGAAUGGCGUUUGAAACUACAAGGCUAGAGUGUG
RNAcentral lists this ribosomal RNA (647 nucleotides) under uncultured bacterium. Its description in RNAcentral is "bacterial SSU rRNA". It matches the Rfam family "Bacterial small subunit ribosomal RNA", at positions 8 to 650 of the family's 1533-position model. The record is from RNAcentral.